This 500-nucleotide ribosomal RNA is filed under the name uncultured bacterium. Its description in RNAcentral is "partial 16S ribosomal RNA". It matches the Rfam family "Bacterial small subunit ribosomal RNA", at positions 28 to 507 of the family's 1533-position model. The record is from RNAcentral.
GACGAACGCUGGCGGCGUGCUUAACACAUGCAAGUCGAACGGGUCUGCCCUGUUUUUUGCGGGGUGGGUCAGUGGCGAACGGGUGAGUAACACGUGAGUAACCUGCCCCUCACUUCUGGAUAACCGCUUGAAAGGGUGGCUAAUACGGGGUGUUCUGGCUGUGCCGCAUGGUGUGGCUGGGAAAGAUUCACUUUUGUGGUGUUUUGGUGGGGGAUGGGCUCGCGGCCUAUCAGCUUGUUGGUGGGGUGAUGGCCUGCCAAGGCUUUGACGGGUAGCCGGCCUGGGAGGGUGGGCGGGCACACAGGGACUGAGAUGCGGCCCAGACUCCGGCGGGAGGCAGCAGUGGGGGGUAGUGCACAAUGGGCGGAAGCCUGAUGCAGCGACGUCGCGUGAGGGAUGGAGGCCUUCGGGUUGUGAACCUCUUUCGCCGGUGAAGAAGGUCCUGCUCUUUGUGGUGGGGUUGACGGUAGCCGGGUUAUGAAGCGCCGGCUAAAUACGUG